GUGAAGGUGGGCGGUCAGUGAGAGAUGAGCGGCAGAAAGGUGCCAGCAGGGGCAGGGUAGGCCGCGCCGCCACACACCGCAGCACCCGAUAUGCCGCAUCUUGCCAGCGUCCUUUUUAUGGUAUCUUCAUACCAGAGACUUUUGAUGGUGGCGGCUGGGCGGUGAUGGGUGGCUCUGCCGCGAGCAACGGUGCAGCGGCAGCGGCAGACGUGGUGGCAGC
Long non-coding RNA from Schistocerca gregaria, 220 nucleotides. RefSeq lists it as uncharacterized. The record is from RefSeq and is a predicted model, not a curated record. The transcript has 3 exons. Lineage: Eukaryota; Metazoa; Arthropoda; Insecta; Orthoptera; Acrididae.